GAUGAACGCUAGCGGCAGGCUUAACACAUGCAAGUCGAGGGGUAUGGUUCUUCGGAGCCAGAGACCGGCGCACGGGUGCGUAACGCGUAUGCAAUCUACCUUUUACAGAGGGAUAGCCCGAGAGAAAUUUGGAUUAAUACCUCAUAGUAUAGCUCGUACCGCAUGGUAGUACUAUUAAAGUCACAACGGUAAAAGAUGAG
RNAcentral lists this ribosomal RNA (200 nucleotides) under uncultured bacterium. Its description in RNAcentral is "partial 16S ribosomal RNA". It matches the Rfam family "Bacterial small subunit ribosomal RNA", at positions 28 to 229 of the family's 1533-position model. The record is from RNAcentral.